RNAcentral lists this long non-coding RNA (3524 nucleotides) under Daphnia magna. RNAcentral describes it as "uncharacterized LOC116926908, transcript variant X5". The record is from RNAcentral. Lineage: Eukaryota; Metazoa; Arthropoda; Branchiopoda; Diplostraca; Daphniidae.
CAUUUAGAUAUACCUAAAUCGACACUGUCAUGCAUAACAACGUAUCGUUGUUACUGGUAACGUGUGAAGUCUUUUCUUAAAGUAUUUAUGAACUGUAUACUCAUCUCUGGAUGAUGUCAAAUCCGACUAAGAAGUGAUGUCAGGUUCGUCACGUUGUUUGUGACAUUAUUCACCGACUUAGCCUUCCCAAAACGCAUCCCAUUGAAAAUCCGAGAAUGAAUGGGAAAUGUUUGACUGGAGUUUCCCGGAGUAUCAGCAAAGAUUUUCGUUCAUUGCUAGUGGAUUGAAAGGGAGGUCUUUCUGUCAUUGUGCUCAAAAUUAUGGUAUUUUGGCUGACCAAGAAAUAGUCCAUAUGAUUUGCACUGGUGAUAGUGCUAAAAUGAUAUUUCUUAUAAUGAUGGUGGUGUGCACUUCCAUUUUAACUUGGCAGUAUGCCUCAAGAUGUUUGUGCUGCUGACUACAUCAAAAUGGAUUUUUUGGGAGAUCCAAUUACAACACUGCUAGAAGAAUAUGAUAUACAUGCUAGAGAUGCCCACUACUUCCAUUAAGAUAAACAGCGCCCGACCCGACAUGUUAAACUGGCUCGCAACCACCUCUACGUUUACAUCAGUGGCGAAACUUGCUCCAACAAAGCGACGUACGCGCCUCCUCGUAUUGCUAGACGUUUGAGGACGUUUUUCACUACCGGUUGAUCAAUUACAGUACGUGAACCUCCAGGACAACGACAGAAAAAUCGUGAACUAUGAAUCGGAUACUGCCGAGGAAUCGUGUUGAAACCGGCAAAAUCAUUUCUGCCAUCGGUGCUGUUGCGGGGAGGAGAAAGGAAUUUUCCGACCAUGGCGUCCAAAAUGCGGUUCAAUCAGUGCCUCAACGAUGUGACUGUUUGGAAAACAACCAUCACAUACCUGCUGCCUUUCAAUUCUUUCGCCUUUCAACUAAACCAGAAAAAUACUAGUUUUCGUCAUCCUGUCACAUCUCAAAUUCUAUGGUUUAUAAUUCCUGUUCUAUGACCCAGUUCUUUUACAGACAGUGGCUUCUCAUUUCAUCUUCAUUCCAGUAAUCAGAUUUGAUGUUUCGAAUUGUUUUAGGUUGUUAAAGCAAGUUUGACUUUCUACGAUGCUUCCACCAACGUGCAUGGUCGCCAAACUUUGUUGUUGUGUCGGACUGUUAAUCUGGGAGAAAAACGUCGAAUUAUUUGGCGAUAUGUUUGUCAAAGUUACAGAUAGAACGGCUAACGAUUUAAAUCUCACUUGGGAUAAUCUAUUUCUCGGACAAGGUACUUUGAGACCGGAUUUAAUUGUCCGCUUCGCAUAGGGCUUUUCGCGCUGAUCAUUAAAAAAAAGACUCAUCAUAACGAUUCCGAAAUGGUUCGUCAGUUGCGCCCUCACGGUCGUGUAGUAGAACCUUUUAAAGACUUCCAUAAAGAUGAAGUAAGAUCCUUAGGUCUCGAGCUGGGUCUGCUUGCAGAAUUACUGGAACGUCAUCCGUUUCCUGGUCCUGGUUUGUCCAUUUGAAUCAUUUGCGCCGAAGAACCGUUCAUGGAAGCUGAUUUCGGUGAGACGCAAGUGCUGAUUCGUUUGAUGGUCGAUUAUGCCAACAUGGCAACCAAGGAAAAUGCCUUGCUCAAUCGGAUUGAAAUCGCGACGUCGGAAGAAGAGCGUCUUCUUCUGGAAGAACUGUCCAGUCACAACCAGUAUGUUGCCACGCUACUGCCUAUUCAACCUGUCGGUGUUCAGGGAGAUUGCCAAAACUUAUAGCUAUUGCGUAGUACUGAAUUCUGAUAAGACAAUCAAACUGGAAUUAUCUAGCUACCUAGGCCUGCUUAGUACCACGUGUGUGCCAUAAUGUCAACCGUGUUUGCUACAUAUUCGGAAAGGGUGUGCGUGAAUCGGUGACAGACGUUCCACCUACCUACUUAAUGAGUAACAUUUUGGCGACUUUGAGGGAAGCGGAUUAUUUGGCAAAUAAAAUAUUACGGGAUUCGGAAUAAGAAGAAAGUAAAAGAAGCUAGCCCAGAUGCCAAUCGUCUUGAUCCCUCUUCCCUUUGAUCACGAUUCGAGUCAACGCAUUCCAUCAUACCAGCGAUGAGUCAUUUUUCGGAACUCCUGCAAUUCCUGAUACUCAUCUGCCCCAAGAGUUACGUAAAAAGUGGUACAUUUUAAAAACUGAUCUUGGUGUAAACAUUGAUACUGCUUAUUAGGUUGAAGACAAGAUGUUUGAAGCCGUCUUAACUGUUCCAGGAAUUUCCAGGGUCUUGUAUGACCUGACGGCAAAACCACCCGGGACAACGGAGUGGGGAUGAUUUUCGAUUUAAGUACUGUCAUAUUUCGGUUGCAGGUUUUCACUGAAUACGAAGUAAGUAAUGUGUUUAAUCGUGUUAAAUGUAUGAUUUUUCGAUUCAACUCUAUUUAGGUGUUAGAACUGAAAUUGUAAUUUUAGAUCUUUUAAAACACCGCCUAGCUUUUAUUAACAAUGGUUUACUUUCAAAAUCACUCAAAACUACUUCAAAACUAUCAAAAUCUUGUUAACCAUUUAAAGGAGAACAAAGCUCAUUUUGUAGAUUUCAUAAAUUUCAACUUCUGGUUUUACUUCCAGUUUUAAAAUGCCAAAUAACUCCUUAUUUAUUGGUCUCUCAGAAAAAAAAAUUACAUUUUUGUGAUCCUCGUCAAAUUUGGGGUCGACUCCGUGUAUCAGAUCAAAAUAUCCGAAAAUCAUCAAAAAUCGCAAAUUUUCCUGAACUAUUCAUUAAAUUUUAUAAUAUAUUUUUUGUUCUUGAAAAUUAUUUCUACUACGUCAAGCCAGAAAAUAUGCUAAGACGUACUUCAUGCAAUUUCAUUCACGUUAAGUUCAUGAAAAAUCGCGAUUUUGGUCAAAUCCGACUUUUGGCUAAAAAUACGUCAUUAAGUCUUAACCCAAAUUUGAUAAGGAUCAAGAAAAUUCUACUCGUUUUGUUAUGGGAUUACUAUUUCCGGAGAUAUUGGUUACUUCCGGCUACUUCCGGAAAAUUUUCCUGACAAGCUGUAAAAAGUAAAAAAUGAGCUGUAUUAUUCUAAAAAUUUCAAAUACUUUUUUUGCAUGCGUUAGGGUGUGCAGCUCUUAUUCUGUGGUUUUUUCACUAUCAACAGUACAGGCUGACCCUUCGAGCAACUACAGUUUUAAUCUACAAAUGUUUUAGCGCCUCGUCUUGCAACCAGUAGUUGGUAUUCUAGGUUUUUAAGUUUAAAAUUUGAAUUAUUGGAAGUUUAAUCAAUCAAUUAUUAUUAUUUGGAAUUAGUAAAAUUCAAGUACUUAAAAGCAAGAAUUGUACUGAUUUCAAAGUAAAAUCUAUUUUCUUUGGGUUUCAGGAGGAAAACUAGAUGGCGUUGAUGUGCGUUUUGAUAAGUAUUACGAGUGGCAAGUUAAAUCGGUGUUAGUUAAGUUUCUACCCUGUUUAGUGUUUCAAAGGAUUUUUAUUCAAAUAUUAACAGUGUUGUUCAGUAUUGUUAUCGUUGGGUAUGUAUUGAAAAUAAAAUUCUUAAAAUAUA